AACUCGACAAAAGAGUCCAGUAACUUCAGGAGAAGGGGUGCCUCCUCACGAAGGGGGUUACAAUGACUAGGCCCUGACAAUUGUUUACCGAAAACACAGGUCUCCGCAAAGUUGUGAGGCAAUGUGCUGGGGGUUAUGCCUGCCCAGUGCUCGAAGUUCAACGAAGUUGGUGACCUGAUGAUAGGUGGGCCGGCAUCUGGAGCCUUGGUGAGCGACGCUACCCCUUCGUUCCUUCCUUAGAAGAAAGAUUAAGGAAUGAGUGGAUG
Molecule: non-coding RNA, 266 nt
Filed under: Amborella trichopoda
Lineage: Eukaryota; Viridiplantae; Streptophyta; Magnoliopsida; Amborellales; Amborellaceae
Description: Bacterial large subunit ribosomal RNA
Rfam family: Bacterial large subunit ribosomal RNA
Source: Rfam by way of RNAcentral